CCUACGGGUGGCAGCAGUGAGGAAUAUUGGUCAAUGGGCGAGAGCCUGAACCAGCCAAGUCGCGUGAGGGAAGACGGUCCUAUGGAUUGUAAACCUCUUUUGCCGGGGAGCAAAAAGCGGUACGCGUACCGCAUCGAGAGUACCCGGAGAAAAAGCAUCGGCUAACUCCGUGCCAGCAGCCGCGGUAAUACGGAGGAUGCGAUCGUUAUCCGGAUUUAUUUGGUUUAAAGGGUGCGCAGGCGGCGAGUUAAGUCAGCGGUAAAAUUUCGGGGCUCAACCCCGACAAGCCGUUGAAACUGGCGUGCUAGAGUGGGCGAGAAGGAUGCGGAAUGCGUGGUGUAGCGGUGAAAUGCAUAGAUAUCACGCAGAACUCCGAUUGCGAAGGCAGCAUACCGGCGCCCAACUGACGCUCAGGCACGAAAGCGUGGGUAUCGAACAGGAUUAGAUACCCUUGUAGUC
RNAcentral lists this ribosomal RNA (459 nucleotides) under uncultured bacterium. Its description in RNAcentral is "partial 16S ribosomal RNA". It matches the Rfam family "Bacterial small subunit ribosomal RNA", at positions 338 to 795 of the family's 1533-position model. The record is from RNAcentral.